UGCUUCAAAUGUGACAAGAAAAGAAUAAAGGCUAUCAUGAUUGUUUGAGUUCAGACUUUACACUGAAGCCAUCUGUAAAGACAUGGAGU
This 89-nucleotide long non-coding RNA is filed under the name Capra hircus (goat). RNAcentral describes it as "lncRNA (ENSCHIG00010001372.1)". The record is from RNAcentral. Lineage: Eukaryota; Metazoa; Chordata; Mammalia; Artiodactyla; Bovidae.